RNAcentral lists this ribosomal RNA (253 nucleotides) under uncultured bacterium. RNAcentral's name for it is "partial 16S ribosomal RNA". It matches the Rfam family "Bacterial small subunit ribosomal RNA", at positions 524 to 776 of the family's 1533-position model. The record is from RNAcentral.
UACAGAGGUCCCAAGCGUUGUUCGGAUUCACUGGGCGUAAAGGGUGCGCAGGUGGUCGGGUAAGUCUGAUGUGAAAUCCCGCAACUUAACUGCGGAAUGGCAUUGGAUACUAUUCGGCUAGAGGGUUGGAGGGGGGACUGGAAUUCUCGGUGUAGCAGUGAAAUGCGUAGAUAUCGAGAGGAACACCAGUGGCGAAGGCGAGUCUCUGGACAUUUCCUGACGCUGAGGCACGAAAGCCAGGGGAGCAAACGGG